This 31-nucleotide non-coding RNA is filed under the name Mus musculus (house mouse). The record is from RNAcentral. Lineage: Eukaryota; Metazoa; Chordata; Mammalia; Rodentia; Muridae.
UGCCGAGUGUCCUCUAGCAAUAAAAGUGUCU